GACGAACGCUGGCGGCGUGCUUAACACAUGCAAGUCGAACGGUGAAGGGACCGGUUUUUGCUGGUUCUGGAUGAGUGGCGAACGGGUGAGUAACACGUGAGUAACCUGCCCCCUUCUUCUGGAUAACCGCAUGAAAGUGUGGCUAAUACGGGAUAUUCUGCGCCUGCUGCAUGGUGGGUGUGGGAAAGAUAUUGUUUCGGUGGGGGAUGGGCUCGCGGCCUAUCAGCUUGUUGGUGGGGUGAUGGCCUACCAAGGCGGUGACGGGUAGCCGGCCUGAGAGGGUGGACGGUCACACUGGGACUGAGACACGGCCCAGACUCCUACGGGAGGCAGCAGUGGGGAAUAUUGCACAAUGGGAGCAAGCCUGAUGCAGCGACGCCGCGUGAGGGAUGGAGGCCUUCGGGUUGUAAACCUCUUUCGCCAGUGAAGCAGGCCUGUCCCUUUUGUGGGUGGGUUGACGGUAGCUGGAUAAGAAGCGCCGGCUAACUACGUG
RNAcentral lists this ribosomal RNA (493 nucleotides) under uncultured bacterium. RNAcentral's name for it is "partial 16S ribosomal RNA". It matches the Rfam family "Bacterial small subunit ribosomal RNA", at positions 28 to 507 of the family's 1533-position model. The record is from RNAcentral.